CUGUUAUCCCCACGGUAACUUGAUUGAGUCCUUUUUAUGGGUGAUGUAAAUAUUAUAGAUGAAAAGAUUUAGUUUUGUACCGCCCCAGUUAAAAAAUUAUUUAAAGUUCGAUGGGGUCUUGUCGUCUUCUCGUAUGAUUUAAGCCUUUUUACUUAAAUGUAAAUUUUAAGGAGUCAUUAUAAUAAAGAAUUCAACUCGUUAAUCCUUUCAUUCUGGCCUUAAAUUGAAAGGCAAGUGAUUAUGCUACCUUAGCACGUAAAUUUGCGGCUAUUUAUAAUUCAUUGAGCAGGAGGUACUAAUUA
This 302-nucleotide ribosomal RNA is filed under the name Stasimopus sp. 56STAS01. RNAcentral's name for it is "partial large subunit ribosomal RNA". The record is from RNAcentral. Lineage: Eukaryota; Metazoa; Arthropoda; Arachnida; Araneae; Ctenizidae.